GGAUACUGCAGCUGGAGACCUGGAGAGGAGCUGAUGUUAUUCUAGUUUGAGGAUCAUGGAGCUUGAGAUCCACAGAGGAGCAGGUAUUGUUCUAGAUUGAGGUUCAUGUAGCUGAAGACCUGGGGAGCAGCGGGUGUUUUUUAGUUUGAGGGUCAUGCAGCUGUAGAACCCGGGAGGAGCUGGUGUUUUUCUAGUAUGAGUGUCCUGCAGCUGGAGACCUGGAGAGGAGCUGAUGUUGUUCUAGUUUGAGGGUUGUGCAGCUGAAGACUUGGAGGGGAGCUGAUGUUGUUCUUGUUGAGGGUCUUUCAGCUGGAGACCCAGAGAGGAGCUGAUGUGGUUCUAGUUUAAGGGUCAUGGAGCUGGAGACCCAGAGAGGAGCUGGUGUUGUUCUGAUUUGAGGUUCAUGCAGCUGGAGACAUGGAGAGGAGCGGGUGUUUCUUUAGUUUGAGAUUCAUGCAGCUGUAGAACCGGGGAAGAGCUGGCGUUUUUCUAGUAUGAGUGUCCUACAGCUGGAGACCAGGAGAGGAGCUGAUGUUCUAGUUUGAGAGCCAUGCGACUGGAGAUGCAAAGAGGAGCUGAUUUGGUUCUAGUUUGAGGGUCAUGGACUUAAGACCCGGGGAUGAGCUGAUGUUGUUCUGGUUUGAGGUUCAUGCACCUGGAGACCUGAGGAGGAGCGGUUGUUUUUUAGUUUGAGGGUCGUGCAACAGUAGAACCUGGGAGGAGCUUGUGUUUUUCUAGUAUGAGUGUCCAGCAGCUAGAGACCCAGAGAGGAGCCGAUGUUCUAGGUUGAGGGUGGUGCAGCUGAAGACUCGGGAAGGAGCUAAUGUUCUAGUUUGAGGGCCGUGAUCUGGGGACUUGGAGAGGAGCUGAUGUUGUUCUAGUUUGAGGGUCAGGCAACUGAAGACCCGGGGAGGAGCUGAUGUUGUUCUAGUUUGAGGUUCAUGCAGCUGGAGACCUGGGGAGCAGCGGGUGUUUUUUAGUUUGAGGGUCAUGCAGCUGUAGAACCCGGGAGGAGCUGGCGUUUUUCUAAUAUGAGUAUCCUGCAGCUGGAGACCAGGAGAGUUGCUGAUGUUCUAGUCUGAAGGUCGUGCAGCUGAAGACGGGGGAGGGUUCUAGUUUGAGUGCCCUGCAGCUGAAGACUCGGGAAGGAGCUGAUGUUGUCCUUGUUUUACGAUCUUUCAGCUGGAGACUCAAAGAGGAGCUGAUGUUGUUCUAAUUUGAGUGUAAUGGAGCUGGAGACCCGGGGUGGAGCUGAUGUUGUUCUAGUUUGAGUGUUGUGCAGCUGGAGAUCCAAGAAGGAGGUGGUCUUGUGGUUCAAAUCUGAGGGUCCUGGAGCUGGAAUCUAUGGGAGGAGUCAAUGCUGCCACUGAUGUCUUAGAUUGUGCAGCAGAAGACCCACAGAGGAGCCGGUGUUGGUGUUCUAGUGUGAGGGUGUGGAUCUGGAGAUCCAUGGGGGAGUGACGUUCUUCUAGUUUUUGGGUUGUGGUGCUGGAGACCCAGGGAGGAGCUCAUGGUGUUCUAGUUGAGGGUCGUGGUGCUGGAGACCCAGGGAGGAGUCGAUCCUUCUGUUGUUUAAGUCUGAAGGUCAUCGAGCUGGAGAUCCGGGGAAGAGCUGGUGCUGCGGUUCAAGUCUGAGGGUCCUGGAGCUUGAGACCCCAGGAGGAGAUGGUGCUGCCACGAAUGUCUUAGGUUGUAAAGCUGGAGACCUGCGAAGGAGCCGGUGUUGCUGUUUUAGUGUGAGGUUUGUGGAGCUGGAGUCCCAGGGGGAAAAUGGUGUUUUUCUGGCUUAAGGUGAGUUUCGUGCAGCUGAAGACCAUUGGAGGAGCUGAUGUUCUAGUUUGAGGGUUGUGCAGCUGGAGAUACAGGGAGAAGGUGGUCUUGCAGUUUAAAUGUGAGGGUCUUGGAGCUGGAAUCCAUGGGAGGAGCCAAUGCUGCCACUGAUGUCUUAGGUUGUGGAGCUGAAGACCCGCAGAGGAGCCAGUGUUGGUGUUCCAGUGUGAGGUUCGUGGAUCUGGAGACCCACGGAGGAGCAGGUGUUGGUGUUCUAGUGUGAGGGUCAUGGAUCUGGAGAUCCAUGGGGGAGUGGUGUUCUUCUAGUUUGUGGGUUGUGGUGCUGGAGACCCAGGGAGGAGCUGAUUCUUUUGUUGUUUAAGUCUGAAGGUCGUCAAGCUGGAGAUCCGGGGAAGAGCUGGUGCUGCGAUUCAAGUCUGAGGGUCCUGGAGCUUGAGACCCCAGGAGGAGAUGGUGCUGCCACUAAUGUCUUAGAUUGUAAAGCUGGAGAUCUGUGGAGGAGCUGGUGUUUCUGUUCUAGUGUAAGGUUUGUGGAUCUGGAGUCCCAGGGGUGAGCAGUGUUGUUUUAGUUUGAGGGUCAUGGAGUUAGAGACCCGGGGAGGAGCUGAUGUUGUAGUUUGAGGGUCGUGCAGCUGGAGACCCAGGGAGGAGCUGGUGUGUUUCUAGUUGGAGGGUUGUGGAGCUGGAGAUUCAC
RNAcentral lists this long non-coding RNA (2485 nucleotides) under Homo sapiens (human). RNAcentral describes it as "HSALNT0050160". The record is from RNAcentral. Lineage: Eukaryota; Metazoa; Chordata; Mammalia; Primates; Hominidae.